ACGCUGACACCUACGGAGGCAGCAGUCGGGAAUAUUGCGCAAUGGAGGAAACUCUGACGCAGUGACGCCGCGUGCAGGAAGAAGGUUUUCGGAUUGUAAACUGCUUUAGACAGGGAAGAAAGAAAUGACAGUACCUGUAGAAUAAGCUCCGGCUAACUACGUGCGUAGCACGGCCGGACGGUAAUCUGAGGCGGGCGUCGGACGAAGGC
RNAcentral lists this ribosomal RNA (209 nucleotides) under uncultured bacterium. RNAcentral's name for it is "partial 16S ribosomal RNA". It matches the Rfam family "Bacterial small subunit ribosomal RNA", at positions 329 to 536 of the family's 1533-position model. The record is from RNAcentral.